Molecule: long non-coding RNA, 577 nt
Organism: Myotis daubentonii (Daubenton's bat)
Lineage: Eukaryota; Metazoa; Chordata; Mammalia; Chiroptera; Vespertilionidae
Source: RefSeq, a predicted model, not a curated record
CACUGCUGACUGCACCUUCUCAGCUGCGUCCACCGCAGGUGUUGGAAACAUGAAUGUUUCAAUCUUCCUGACUCUCCUUUUCUUGGGAAUAGCCUCACCGUUUCCAAAGGUGGAUCACAGUUUAGGCGCUCUAUCAAACCUGUUUGAGGCAACAGCUGAAGAAGUAUCUGACCUGGUUGAAGACCUACUAGAUGUCAUCAAUGAUGCGUUGGUAGAGGAUAGUCCCAAUGUGCUUGAUACGCACAGUCAGGAACAACGUGAAGAACCACAGAGCAAUAGAACUGCAAGCCAUCACACUGGUGACAUCAGCCUGCUGAUUAAACCACGCAAAAAAGUAUUUGGCAAGAUUAGAGGUACAUCCAGGAGAGGAUUGUUGGGGAAAAAUUUCAAAGGUGCUGGAAAGAAAACUGUUGGAGGGUUUAAAAAAACAGUACCGAGAUUGAAAACAUUUGGAAAACGCAUUGCAGAGGAGAUUGUGGUAGAUGUAAUACUAUCAGAGGGCUUGGGGGCAAUUGCCAAAGCCAUUGGAGAGAGUAUUCUGGGAGUUAACAACUCUCCCGUGACCCCAGAGGACUCU